This 121-nucleotide microRNA precursor is filed under the name Tribolium castaneum (red flour beetle). RNAcentral's name for it is "microRNA tca-mir-3904 precursor". The record is from miRBase by way of RNAcentral. Lineage: Eukaryota; Metazoa; Arthropoda; Insecta; Coleoptera; Tenebrionidae.
AUAAAAUCAUUAGUUAUCUUAAAAGAUAUUAUUAAUAAGUGCUGUAAUCUAUUUAAGCUCAUUAAUAGAAAUGACUUAUUUAAAAAUAAUGUUUUAAUUUUUGGUGUGACUGUGAUAAACA